UAGCACUAUCAGAAAGAUAACGAAAAAUUUCAAAACUUGGAAAAGCUCACACACACGUUGGCUCAAAUAACAUGGAAUCAAUUUCCUAUAGAAUACAAAAGCAGUGAGCCGGUCGGCAACGAAAACGGAAAUCCGAAAAGAGUAAUCAAAUAAUCCGAACAACACACAUAAACAUCAUGCCGCCCAUCUUUCCAACAACUACCACCAUCA
Molecule: non-coding RNA, 210 nt
Organism: Caenorhabditis elegans
Lineage: Eukaryota; Metazoa; Nematoda; Chromadorea; Rhabditida; Rhabditidae
Source: Ensembl